GUUUACUAUGGCCGAUGAUCUGGAGCAGCAGUCUCAAGGCUGGCUGAGUAGCUGGCUGCCCACGUGGCGCCCCACUUCCAUGUCUCAGCUGAAGAAUGUGGAAGCCAGGAUCCUCCAGUGUCUCCAGAAUAAGUUCCUGGCCAGAUAUGUAUCCCUCCCAAACCAGAAUAAGAUCUGGACGGUGACUGUGAGCCCCGAGCAAAACGACCGCACCCCCUUGGUGAUGGUGCAUGGUUUUGGGGGCGGCGUGGGUCUCUGGAUCCUCAACAUGGACUCACUGAGUGCCCGCCGCACACUGCACACCUUCGAUCUGCUUGGCUUCGGGCGAAGCUCAAGGCCAGCAUUCCCAAGGGACCCGGAGGGGGCUGAGGAUGAGUUUGUGACAUCGAUAGAGACAUGGCGGGAGACCAUGGGGAUCCCCAGCAUGAUCCUCCUGGGGCACAGUUUGGGAGGAUUCCUGGCCACUUCUUACUCAAUCAAGUACCCUGAUAGGUAAUAAGGAGAUGGCUCUAUCCCUCGUGACCUAAUUCCUGGCCUUACUGGGAACUUUCCAGUAUUCAUUUCCAAACUUCUCUCAUUCCCAGGCGAUUUAAGGGGCUAUGGCAACUACCAGAGAAUAUAAUGUGUCUUCUCCUCUUUCCGCCUUUAACAUAGAGUUAAACACCUCAUCCUGGUGGACCCAUGGGGCUUUCCCCUCCGACCAACUAACCCCAGUGAGAUCCGUGCACCCCCAGCCUGGGUCAAAGCCGUGGCAUCUGUCCUAGGACGUUCCAAUCCAUUGGCUGUUCUUCGAGUAGCUGGGCCCUGGGGUGAGUAGCCUGUAGUAUCUCCUUAAAGGAAGGCUAUAAUGUUCUAGAAGGCCCACAGUGUCUUUCCCACUUAUUCCUAAAAAGUGGAAAUUGGCCUAGCCUUGUUAUUUAAAGCUGUUAAUCUGAACCAGAUCACUUUGUUCAAGGUUUGAGAAGGUUUUUCGUUUUUUUGUUUUA
RNAcentral lists this small RNA (986 nucleotides) under Pan troglodytes (chimpanzee). Its description in RNAcentral is "retained intron". Lineage: Eukaryota; Metazoa; Chordata; Mammalia; Primates; Hominidae. The record is from RNAcentral.